Molecule: transfer RNA, 65 nt
Filed under: Orthetrum glaucum
Lineage: Eukaryota; Metazoa; Arthropoda; Insecta; Odonata; Libellulidae
Description: tRNA-Glu
Rfam family: tRNA
About the family: Transfer RNA (tRNA) molecules are approximately 80 nucleotides in length. Their secondary structure includes four short double-helical elements and three loops (D, anti-codon, and T loops).
Source: RNAcentral
AUUUAUGUAGUUUAUAAAAACAUUACAUUUUCAAUGUAAAAAUAAAAGAUAACUUUUCAUAAGUA